Molecule: ribosomal RNA, 1066 nt
Filed under: Staphylococcus aureus
Lineage: Bacteria; Bacillati; Bacillota; Bacilli; Caryophanales; Staphylococcaceae
Description: partial 23S ribosomal RNA
Rfam family: Bacterial large subunit ribosomal RNA
Source: RNAcentral
CAGAGAUUUCCGAAUGGGGAAACCCAGCAUGAGUUAUGUCAUGUUAUCGAUAUGUGAAUACAUAGCAUAUCAGAAGGCACACCCGGAGAACUGAAACAUCUUAGUACCCGGAGGAAGAGAAAGAAAAUUCGAUUCCCUUAGUAGCGGCGAGCGAAACGGGAAGAGCCCAAACCAACAAGCUUGCUUGUUGGGGUUGUAGGACACUCUAUACGGAGUUACAAAGGACGACAUUAGACGAAUCAUCUGGAAAGAUGAAUCAAAGAAGGUAAUAAUCCUGUAGUCGAAAAUGUUGUCUCUCUUGAGUGGAUCCUGAGUACGACGGAGCACGUGAAAUUCCGUCGGAAUCUGGGAGGACCAUCUCCUAAGGCUAAAUACUCUCUAGUGACCGAUAGUGAACCAGUACCGUGAGGGAAAGGUGAAAAGCACCCCGGAAGGGGAGUGAAAUAGAACCUGAAACCGUGUGCUUACAAGUAGUCAGAGCCCGUUAAUGGGUGAUGGCGUGCCUUUUGUAGAAUGAACCGGCGAGUUACGAUUUGAUGCAAGGUUAAGCAGUAAAUGUGGAGCCGUAGCGAAAGCGAGUCUGAAUAGGGCGUUUAGUAUUUGGUCGUAGACCCGAAACCAGGUGAUCUACCCUUGGUCAGGUUGAAGUUCAGGUAACACUGAAUGGAGGACCGAACCGACUUACGUUGAAAAGUGAGCGGAUGAACUGAGGGUAGCGGAGAAAUUCCAAUCGAACCUGGAGAUAGCUGGUUCUCUCCGAAAUAGCUUUAGGGCUAGCCUCAAGUGAUGAUUAUUGGAGGUAGAGCACUGUUUGGACGAGGGGCCCCUCUCGGGUUACCGAAUUCAGACAAACUCCGAAUGCCAAUUAAUUUAACUUGGGAGUCAGAACAUGGGUGAUAAGGUCCGUGUUCGAAAGGGAAACAGCCCAGACCACCAGCUAAGGUCCCAAAAUAUAUGUUAAGUGGAAAAGGAUGUGGCGUUGCCCAGACAACUAGGAUGUUGGCUUAGAAGCAGCCAUCAUUUAAAGAGUGCGUAAUAGCUCACUAGUCGAGUGACACUGCGCCGA